Molecule: long non-coding RNA, 4827 nt
Organism: Pan troglodytes (chimpanzee)
Lineage: Eukaryota; Metazoa; Chordata; Mammalia; Primates; Hominidae
Exons: 3
Source: RefSeq, a predicted model, not a curated record
AAAGCCUUCCCCCACCUAAUCUAACUUAUGCUAAUUUUCUCCUUUCUCAGAGCCUCUCCUAGCAUUUAUGACCUCUGGUAUGUAUUUUGACAUGUUUCCUUACUAUUAAACGUUAUUACUGAUCUUAUCAUGGGUGUAUGUCUGGACAAAAAUAAGACCAUUUUACAUUUAUUUUGCAUCCUCUACAGCACCUGGUAGACACUGUGUGUAUGUUAAGCACAUAAUCAGCACCCGUGGACUGAAUUUGCCCACUUGUUUCCUAGUGCCUUUCAAAGACAACCUGGUUUUGCCUUUUCCUUUCCAUUCAGGAGCUAAUUCUAUCCUCACGUGUCUGUCCUACCAAUACAGCUGUCUCUCCCUAAUAGAGGGUCCAGGGCCCCCAUUUAUCCUGUUCUCUUUGCAGCACUUUGUAGCAGAUCAGCUGUGUUUCCACAUUUGCUCUUUGUUUUCUUACAGUGGGCUACUUAAAUAGUCCAUAACUUCUGCUCCAUACAGGCACGGGCUGCAGAACAAGAGGCCUGUUGGAAUUGCCAUAACCAAAGAGAUUGUGUAUAUUGUGGGGGCUGGGGAGUGGGUAGAAACUCAAGAAAGCAGUAUGGUGAAGGGUUUUGGUGUCUGGUAUACACGCAGGCUCUGGGACAGUUUUGGAGAUAGGUCUGGAAAUUGGGUAUAUGUGACGGAGAUGUAUGGCCAAAGGCAAUUUCAUAAACAACUAUAAAGUCAACAAACCCACAAAUUUGCUUUUAGAGCUAAAGUUAAUAUUAUGCAGUUCAGUCUCUCUUUUUUACACACAAGAAAACUAAGGUCCAAAGAGGUACUUGCAAAUAGUAGAUAAUAAAUAUUAGCUGAUUGCAAAUAAUCUAAUCAAGUCAGUCUUUAGACAGAUUCAUUCUUUAUGGUAUUUAAUGUCAGAACGAACUAGUCUUGGUUUUAGUCAGCAAUUCAAGACUAAAUCAUACUUGUCAGCAUGAUAACUAAACAGGACCCAUCAAGGGAAUCUGGCUUUGCUGACACCUUGAUUUCAGACCAGUGAACCUGACUUAGGACAUCUGACCUCCAGAACUAUAAGAAAAUAAAUGUGUGUUGUUUUAAGCCAUCAAGCUUCCUGUAACUUGUUACAGCAGCCCUAGAAAAUAUACAGUGACCUUAGAGAUUCUUCAAGUAAAGGUAAACUUCAGUAAUAUCUUUAUCUCAAUAGCACUGGAAAAUCAGAUAAGCCAUAUUAAUUAUGUUUUUUAAUGUUAUCAGAUGUGGGCCACCAGCCUUAAGCCAGAGGGAGCUUUGUAAGACAGGAACAUAUAAAAUGAUAAAAGCUUCUCUACGUACAGUUUUCCUGACUCUGAUUCUGCGUGGGACAACCAGUGAAAAUUGCAGGUGAAGAGAAGAAAUGUGUAUUUAUUCCUCCACUGGGAAAAAAAAUACCAUCCAAAGCUACAUGACUUGAGAGACAAGGUCUCACUAUGUUGCCCAGGCUGGCCUCGAACUCCCGGGCUUCAGCAAUCCUCCUGCCUCACCCUCCCAGGUAGCUAGGACUACAGGACCGCGACCCGGCGCUGCCUAAGAACUGUUUUUAAACGUGAAAGCCACGACUAUCAUUUGCUUUUUGCUCUGCUCUUCAUCUUCUGGAUAAACCUCGUAACACACUGCUUGUUUUGGGCUCAGUGGUAGUCUGCUGCCUACGCCCCGUCAGACAAGUGGCCUGAGUUCCCCGCAACCCCUGCAGGUCCGGCCGCCCGCGCCAAGCCUCAAGGCAUCCAAGCCAGGAACGAUCGCGGUCAGCUCUGCCACGGAACAUGUGCAAGACCCGGCAGCAGGUUCCGGGGGAGGCGAAUUGAUUUCACAACGGUCGAGAAGGAGGACCCCGCCCACUUCGUCAUUUCUCGGAAGCCCAGGGGACUCGCCGGAAGAGCGGCUCAAAAGCCGGAAAACCGGCAAUUCCGAGUCUCCCGGCGCAUGCGCGGCGCAAUCGGCUUCGCGUGGUUGCAGUAGAGAGGAUCCCUCCGCCAGCCACUGCAUCCGGCGGCCGGAUCUAACUUACCCGCUAGCGUUUUACCCUUGCGCGGCCGUGGCGUAGGCGGUCUUUUCCCUUGGUCCCCCGCGGCGCCGCCUCUUGUGACGUAAGCCGCAGAAUCCUCUGUCUUAGUUCGGCUCUAUUGCCGCAAGCUUGACUCUUCCUGGGUCUGAGGAAAAGUAAAAGUAAUUUUGUCAUUUCGUGAAACUUCAAGUUAAACCUUUAAGCUGUUCAUUUCCUAAAAGGGUGAAAACGCGGGCACCCCUCGAGCUAGUUCAUCGCCUUUUAACCUGUGAGUUCUGUUAAAAGGAAGUAACUGCAAAAUGUGUUCGCUGUUAGGUUUCUUUGGAAGUUUUGGGUUGUGUUCAUGCGUUCUCUCGGCGUGUGAACUGGGAGAAAGUGGAGUGCCAGCCAUAUGAAAUGACAACUGUAUAUGGAGGCUGGGAGGUAUAAUGCCCAUUCUGGCUUGAUGAAAUUAAUGAAAUUUUAAUUAAGUUUAAUUUUCAUUUGAAUUACCCAGGAAUAGCAUCUUGAAAAGCGGGGCGUAAAAAGCAGUUAAAGAGCUUCGAGAAACGGUUACUCGUUUUGUAAACUAAAGACCAAAUGAAAAUCCAACUGCACUAGAAAAGAAAGAAACUUAUAAGGGCCGAAGGUUUUGUCUGCAAUUUACAGCUAAUUAGUCUCAAAGAUUUCUGUGAUUUGCCCAAGAGAGGUGGAGUUGGGGCCACUGCUUUCCCCAGGACACCGCCGCGGCCCGCUUGAAUACUGCCGCCGUUAGGACCCGCCGUACCUGGCCGUCCAGGGCCUCUUCUUGUCUUCCACUCUCACUUGUCUUUUCUCCCCUUUCCAUGUUUUUGGUUCCUUUCCUGAGUUUCCCUUAUCUCCACUCCCCUCCCCCUUUGCUUCCUCUAUCUCUUUAACUUCUGUUUUCUUGAUGGUGGAGCCAACUUUAGUUUCCCUUAAAAGGCCAUAAAAGGAAAUAGAAUAAUUUUAAAAAUGUCUUUUCAUAAGGCUUGUUUUCUUGUCUUAAGCCUGUUUUUUGGUGGGGGGUGAAAAAGUUCAUAUGCAGAUAGACAUAAAACUUCUUUUGGUAAAAGCUGCCCUCUAUUUUCUUCCAUAGCUGUCCUGUGAAAGUAGGAGUGUGUGUGAAUGGUGAAGCAAAGAGAGGGAGACAUGGGGUCAGUAGAAGAGGGAGCACAGCGUGUGUAAGGAGUUAAUUAGAACCAGAGGGCCUGGGUCUGUGGCUCAUGCCUGUAAUUCCAGCACUUUGGGAGGCUGAGGCGGAGGACCCUUUGCACCACUGCACUCCAGCCUGAGCAACAGAGUGAGACCCAGUCUCAGAACAAAAAAACAGAAAAACAGGAGAAAAACCAUCCAUAUAAGCAGAGAGGUACUUAAAAUGUUGCAAAACUAAAUUCCAAAUAACGUCUGUGGAUUCUACAAAAUCUAGGAAAUACACUUUUCCAAUAAAUCUUUGUACAUUCAUCUGUAAUGCAUUUCCUUAGGUGAUUUGAGUCCUUUAGGAGUAAAUCUGUAUCUUUAGCUGUCCCAGAAGUAAUCACAGGCGUUCAUUGUCUAUUCAAUGACAAAGUAUUGUGAACUAUUCUAUGAAAUAAUAAAAUAUCAGUGUUUUCAGAGUACAUGGCCUUUUCAGUAGCCUUUUCAGUGUGUUGGCACCUGUUCCCAGUUCUGCCAGUGGAUAUUGUUAUCUUUGAUCUACAAUUGGGAAGCUAAAACCCAGAAAGUUACUUGUCUAAGACUAUACACCUCCAAGAAGGCAGAACUGUGGCUGCUAUUUCCAACUUUCUAGUCUCUGAACAUGUAAUAAAGAACUGAUUUCCAAUUUACAAUGAAUAAUAGAAUUUACUAUAACAACUGACCAAAGUGUGCUGUUUUAUUACCAAUUUCUCUCUCUCUCUCUCUCUCUCUCUUUCUUUUGUGACAUAGUCUCGCUCUGUUGCCCAAGCUGGGGUGCAGUGGUGAGGUCUCGGCUGACUGCAACGUCCGCCUCCGAGGUUCAAGCGAUUCUAACUGCGUCAGACUCCCCAGUAGCUGUGACUACAGGCAGGCGCCACUACACCUGGCUAAUUUUUGUAUUUUUAGUAGAGAUGGGGGCUCACCAUGUUGGUCAGGCUGGUCCCAAAUUCCUUGCCUCAAGUGAUUUGCCCUCCUCGGCCUCCCAAAGUGUUGGGAUUACAGGUGUGAGCCACUGUGCCCACCCCAAUUUGCUUCUUUGGUGUUUGUAAUUCUGCUUGGUCAACAGUAACUUGCAGAAAUUGAUUGGAACAUAUAUUUUGAUAAAGUAUUUGAAGGUAUUCCUGAAGUUUGAUUUAUGUUUCAGCUGCCUAUACUGAAAGAAAAUAAACUGCUGUGUAUUCCAUAAUUUAAAAAUAAUUGUUCAUUUUAGUGACAUUUUGUAGUUGGAUAGUGGAGACAAAAGAUGAUACUCUGUGUGAUCUUCAAUCUAAACAUUUAUGUUAGGACAAAUUAUUCCCAUAUCUGUAUAAUGCUAUAUUUCUGCCCUGACCUCUACAAAUCACAGAAGCACCAUUAUUCGAUCUUGUUCUCUUUUUCAAAAAAUUCUACCUUCCAAGGUGGUGGUUCUUUAAGUUUAUAAGUGAACCAUAAAGUAGUUGGAAACCUGGAUCCCAGGAUGGUAGAAACAUGAAGCUUGUUUAUUCCAAGGACAGUUUUAUAUAUGUAUAGGACUUUAUUAUCCUUACUGUAUACAGCAUUUUAAUGGGGAGGGGGAACCAGGAGCAUUGUUGGGGGUUAAUUUAAUUUUUGUAGUUUUAAAAUACAAACGAAUGAUUGUA